RNAcentral lists this ribosomal RNA (253 nucleotides) under uncultured bacterium. RNAcentral's name for it is "partial 16S ribosomal RNA". It matches the Rfam family "Bacterial small subunit ribosomal RNA", at positions 524 to 776 of the family's 1533-position model. The record is from RNAcentral.
UACGGAGGGGGCUAGCGUUGUUCGGAAUUACUGGGCGUAAAGCGCACGUAGGCGGCUUUGCAAGUCAGAGGUGAAAGCCCGGGGCUCAACCCCGGAAUUGCCUUUGAGACUGCAUCGCUAGAAUUGUGGAGAGGUAAGUGGAAUUCCGAGUGUAGAGGUGAAAUUCGUAGAUAUUCGGAAGAACACCAGUGGCGAAGGCGACUCACUGGACACAUAUUGACGCUGAGGUGCGAAAGCGUGGGGAGCAAACAGG